Molecule: unclassified non-coding RNA, 300 nt
Organism: Callithrix jacchus (white-tufted-ear marmoset)
Lineage: Eukaryota; Metazoa; Chordata; Mammalia; Primates; Cebidae
Rfam family: Metazoan signal recognition particle RNA
About the family: The signal recognition particle (SRP) is a universally conserved ribonucleoprotein. It is involved in the co-translational targeting of proteins to membranes.
Source: Ensembl
UCCAGGCGCAGUGGCAUGUGCCUGUAGUCCCAGCUACUCGGGAGGCUGAGGUGGGAGGAUCGCUUGAGCCCAGGAGUUCUGGGCUGUAGUGCGCUAUGCCGAUCGGGUGUCUGCACUAAGUUUGGCAUCAAUAUGGUGACCUCCUGGGAGCGGGGGACCACCAGGUUGCCUAAGGAGGGGUGAACCGGCCCAGGUCGGAAAUCGAGCAGGUCAAAACUCCUGUGCUGAUCAGUAGUGGGAUUGCACCUGUGAAUAGCCACUGCACUCCAGCCUGGGCAACAUAGCGAAACCCCGUCUCUA